RNAcentral lists this unclassified non-coding RNA (219 nucleotides) under uncultured fungus. RNAcentral describes it as "sequence contains ITS1". The record is from RNAcentral. Lineage: Eukaryota; Fungi.
GUAUUGAUUGCGUGUGACCGCAAAAAUAACAUUCUACACUGUAUCGAGUUUUGUGUGAAAACGUGAGCCCUCCUGCAAAGGGGACCCACGCGGUGAUGCACAAAGGGGUGAGAUGGAUUGUGUGAGAGCGCUCGGGCGUGCACGACCUUUGAAGGUCAGCGACAGCCCUUGCACCUCGGUUGCACGAUAAUGAUCCUUCCGCAGGUUCACCUACGGAAA